GACGAACGCUGGCGGCGUGCUUAACACAUGCAAGUCGAACGGAAAGGCCCUGCUUUUGUGGGGUGCUCGAGGGGCGAACGGGGGAGUAACACGUGAGUAACCGGCCCUUGACUUUGGGAUAACUUCAGGAAACUGGGGCUAAUACCGGAUAGGAGCUCCGGCUGCAUGGUGGGGGUUGGAAAGUUUCGGCGGUUGGGGAUGGACUCGCGGCUUAUCAGCUUGUUGGUGGGGUAGUGGCUUACCAAGGCUUUGACGGGUAGCCGGCCUGAGAGGGUGACCGGCCACAUUGGGACUGAGAUACGGCCCAGACUCCUACGGGAGGCAGCAGUGGGGAAUAUUGCACAAUGGGCGGAAGCCUGAUGCAGCAACGCCGCGUGCGGGAUGACGGCCUUCGGGUUGUAAACCGCUUUCGCCUGUGACGAAGCGUGAGUGACGGUAAUGGGUAAAGAAGCACCGGCUAACUACGUG
Molecule: ribosomal RNA, 468 nt
Filed under: uncultured bacterium
Lineage: Bacteria
Description: partial 16S ribosomal RNA
Rfam family: Bacterial small subunit ribosomal RNA
Source: RNAcentral